UGAAGUUUUUAUGCAUUUCUGGGUUUGUGUUCUUGGUUAUGAAUUUUGAGUAGUGAUUAGGGUUCUUGAGGAUGGGUUAGAGUAGCUUAGAAUCUUUAAUCUAAUAGGUGGUUGAGUUUGAUUGGUAGAUCCCUUCUGGAUUAGUUGUUCUUAAUGCUGAUUGCUUUCUGAUCAACUGGAAUCUGAGCCCAGACAUUUCCGCACCCAAAAGGUGUUCGAUGAAAUGUCUGAACCACUAAUUCCAGAGAUUCGUGGCUCUGUACCAAGGUAUUGGUUACAGGGAGCGUUUUGGCUUAGACUUGUUGUUUCGUAAUGCCUGUUAAGUUAGCUCUCGUCAAUGGUGAUUGAGUCUGGGACUAGCUUUGCUUGAGGAUCUCUGUUGCGGUAGCACUUUGAUUUGGUUAUUGAACUUGUUGUCUAGGGAUAGUUUGUUGAGCAUGUUAACCACCUGUUAGAUUAAGGAGACUUCACUACUCGAUUACCCCAUCCUCGGGAAUUUCUCUUCCA
Molecule: long non-coding RNA, 507 nt
Filed under: Arabidopsis lyrata
Lineage: Eukaryota; Viridiplantae; Streptophyta; Magnoliopsida; Brassicales; Brassicaceae
Description: long non-coding RNA (ALYR_LNC003404)
Source: RNAcentral